GGUAGGGGAAGAAGGAGGGGAUAACUUUAAUUAAUACCUACUAUUAUAACCCAAGAAGAAGCAUAUGAGCAACCUCACAGUCAGUGAUGGACCAGAUUAUCAAACAGCGGACUAUGUGAAAACCAAAUGUGUCUCUCUACCCUGCAUGAACAGAUUUUAGCAGUGUUUCUGGAGCUGAAUAAUUGCUAUAGUUGUUUCAGAGAGAGUCACUGCCUAUGCACUUCUGAAUGUUACAAGUGGAAGAGACUCUUGCAUUUCCAUUCUGUAGCAGUUGUUUCCCGAAAGAAAGAUUGGCUGGUUGUCUUUUUGGCUCCCACCUACCUUGGUGUUUUGCCAGGCUGUGGUCUAGCUUGGUCAUCUACAUCUGCUAUACAUAUACCAGGCAGGGAACAUCAAACUGUGCCAGCCUAUCUUCUGCAGUCACAGCAGGUUCUAAACGACAUGUGACUGUGAUGUCUCAGGCUGUCUUACUUCUUCCUCUCUGGGAUGGUUGGCUAGGGCUAUAAAAUUUACCUCGGUGCUCGCUUUGUUUAAAUAUAGAUUAUCUAUGUUCUGAUUCAAAAUUAAAGUCUGGUUUAAUGUUAU
Molecule: long non-coding RNA, 585 nt
Filed under: Rattus norvegicus (Norway rat)
Lineage: Eukaryota; Metazoa; Chordata; Mammalia; Rodentia; Muridae
Description: long non-coding RNA NONRATT030975
Source: RNAcentral